UGGGGAAUAUUGGACAAUGGGGGGAACCCUGAUCCAGCCAUGCCGCGUGUGUGAAGAAGGCCUUAUGGUUGUAAAGCACUUUAAGCGAGGAGGAGGGUACUGGUAUUAAUACUACCAGCUACUGGACGUUACUCGCAGAAUAAGCACCGGCUAACUCUGUGCCAGCAGCCGCGGUAAUACAGAGGGUGCGAGCGUUAAUCGGAUUUACUGGGCGUAAAGCGUGCGUAGGCGGCUAAUUGAGUCGGAUGUGAAAUCCCCGAGCUUAACUUGGGGAUUGCAUUCGAUACUGGGUAGCUAGAGUGUGGGAGAGGAUGGUAGAAUUCCAGGUGUAGCGGUGAAAUGCGUAGAGAUCUGGAGGAAUACCGAUGGCGAAGGCAGCCAUCUGGCCUAACACUGACGCUGAGGUACGAAAGCAUGGGGAGCAAACAGG
RNAcentral lists this ribosomal RNA (430 nucleotides) under Pseudomonadota bacterium. RNAcentral's name for it is "Proteobacteria bacterium partial 16S ribosomal RNA". It matches the Rfam family "Bacterial small subunit ribosomal RNA", at positions 355 to 776 of the family's 1533-position model. Lineage: Bacteria; Pseudomonadati; Pseudomonadota. The record is from RNAcentral.